GGAACAGGUUUCGUCGAGAUUUUUCCGAUUUUUUGGUAGCUUUGAAAUUUACUUAAUCCUUAACGAGUAUCGUUUGAUCUGGAUCGACGAUUGUAAGAGUAGUUGAUUAGGUUUGGAUUAGGUGCUGGAUUUUGAAUAUUUUUGUGCUACUAGUAAUCGUGAAUGUUAUUUAGGAUUAGAUACUGAACUUUUUUUUUACCAAAUCCAAUGAAACUAACUAAUUUUAGGAUAGAUUUCUUCACAGUUUUUGAAAACUUUGGAACUUGUUUUUACCCAUAAUUGGUAUCGUUGGACCAUUAAUUACGUAUCAGACUUUGCGAUAUUUUAGGUAUUUGAGUUAAGAAUAAGUAAUAUUUAUUUCGUACUUCUUAUUUUACGCGAUAUAAAUCAUCGGUGAUAAGAUAAAACGCAAACUAAAAGUGGAGUCAGGCAAAUUACCGUGAUCAACUGUGAAAUAUUCAACUAUGGAAAGUUGAAGUUCGUAGACCAGUGAGAGUGUUAAGGGUUGCGUUUUAAUGGAACUGGAGUUUCUAAACGAUAUUUGUAACAUACCUCAUCUAUGAUAAUUAAAAAUAAAAGCCGAAACAUCGAAAUUCCUAGACGACGAUAGAAAUUCAAGCGAGCAAAAAACAGCGUAUCCGUGGAACGCACGCGAAUCGAAGGGGACAGGAAGGAGAGGAAAGAAAGAAUAGUGGAGCGCAUGCACAUACGUACACUGUGCUUAUGGUCGCGUAUUGCGUAUGUAGUGGAGAAGGUUUGAGCGCGUGCACGUACCAACAUACGUUCCUACAUACGUUUAUGCACAGGUAUCGUCGGCUUCCGCGAACUAGAUCGGCCGAGCAGAUAUUAGGAGCGCGUCUGCCCCGUUGCCAUUGCGGCAAGUGCUGGUCAUUGUCCACCCGGCAGGUACAGGAAGUCAACGCCGACCAACGACGGUGCACACAAACGAGAGAAGGAGAUUUUUCGGUAGGAUAAUCAUGGAGAAACUACAACGAGGUGCAAGAUUAUCGUCGCCCCGCUUUUGCGAAAACAACGUACGGUCCUAUAAUUAAGGGUGCGUUUUGUGUUGCGAGAGAUGGGGUUGAAAAGGGACGUUAAUGUGCAAAGUUUUAUAGCUGUUCUAGGGGCUCUCUGUUCGAGGGAAAGGUUGAAAUAUUUAGGUGAAUGAAGUUUGUUCGGGGGUUGAGCGGGCUAAGUUUAGGCUACGCUGAGUUCAAAUUAAUUAGAAAAAUAGAUAGCGUGGGUAUUUUAAUCGCAGAAUAUAAAAUUCGGGUGGAAUAUUUAAAAAAUAGCUAAAUAUGAUGGACAUAGUGAAUAUUGAAAAGUGCUUGGAUAUAGUAAACUCGCUGGGAUAUGUAAGAUAUAUGACGGAAAAAUAGGAUCGAAAUAUCUAGAUGGAUAAAGUUUGUUGGAAAAUUAAUUAAAGGUAAAUCGUGCACCUGUUGGGGUAAGUUUGAAAUAAUAAGAUAUACAGAAAAUAAGGAACUGGCUAGGCACGGAAAUUGAAAUGUAAAUUGCAAGAGGAUUCGUAAGAAGUAGAAAUGAAACGUAAUAAUUGAAGUUAAUAGAAUUAAUCGAUCGUAUUGGAAAUUCAGGAUACCUAAAAUAACGAAAAUUCAACAUUAUCUAGUGACGAAUGUUAAACUGUAUCUGCCUGAUCGUUCUUCUAUAAAAAGAAACCGUUUCAAUUUAAACAUUCAACACGUCUGGUAAACGGCGAUCACCAGGAUGGAAAGCUGUCAUUCCUUCGACUAAUUUUCCGUUUUCCUUCCUCUCUGGCAGAAUUUACGGCGCUGUUGCGACAAAUAAUCGUUGUCCGUCGCAGGCAGGAAGCUGACGAGGAGUUGGUUGGCCAGCGAGAGAUUUUCGGUACGAUAAUCGUAGGGAAACUCCGGACGCCCAUUGUGACAAUGGCCUCCCGAGGCAGCGCGAUAAUUACACCGGUAAUAACCUGGUAAAUAGAAAGAAACGUUCGGUAUCUUCUUUUCUGAUGCGAACUGUCGGAUAUUACUGACCAGCGAAAUUCGUUUGUUUCCUGCUAUCCAUCAUUCUCGAUUCACAACACACUGAGAAUCAGAAAUAAAAUCUGAAUCUAACACAGAGGCUAUUUGAUUCAUUGUUGCAAGAUUUUCGAGUGAUUAGGAAUGUUAAAGUGUGCUCAGCUAAUAUUACUGACCACUAAUACGUACAUAUUGUUGAUAAAAGGAAUCAAAACGACUGGUACACGAAAAAAUAUUUAACAAAGAAUUAUCAGAAUACCCAUGAAUGCAACAAUUUGCAAAUUUAUAGAAUUCCGAUGAAAAAUUUGAAUUUCUAAAAUCGAUUACUUUGACUCUGUAAACAUCGUCUUUUCUGUAUUUUCUCUCCUAUUUUUUUUUUUUUCUUUUUCAAGACUCGCGAUCUCGAUUUAGAAAGGAUUAAUUUCCUGUUUUCCUCUGCGUGCACUCUAUUUUCCUUCUUACGACGAGGAGGACGAUUCAGGAGGAAGAGAUCGAGGGGAAGGCAAAGGAAGGAGGGUAAAACGAGAAUGCAAGUUAAUACAGGAAAGAGGCAACGAUACUCAUCGAUAUGCGCAUAAACUCGAGCAUCGAACGAACGCCAAUCUAUAAAAGCGUAUGACGGUAGCAGAAGGUGGCUCGACGAAGGGAGGAGGCGAGGUAGACGAUAGCGAAGCGGAGGAGGAAAGACGUGGAGGAGGGAGGAGCAGUAGAUAUCGCGAUAUUGCGAGCAAGCUUAUGUGGAAAAAUAAUAAUAAGAAAAAGAAAAGCAAGAAAAGAUUGCGUGUAAGACGUCAUGAGCAGUGGACGCGUUAUGCGGACGAUGAUAUGGAACAUGUGUUGUGGAACGUGUCAUCGACGAGUGCGUACAGGCAUUAGUAGCGCUGUCUGAAACGGAUCGUCUGAUUCUACUGUUAGAUGUGUUGAGAGGAUUGCGGAUGUUGAUCUCCUGGUUAAUCUACUUCGUACAAUCAUUCCAGAAUACUUUAUGAGGUAUAUCUCUACUAUCUGUAAAGUUACCAUCAGAUAAAUGAGACUAAUAAAAGGAUAGUAGUAAACUUGAAGAUCUCCAGUUCCUUGGUUUCCAAUUUAUACAGAGUUUCUGUAUAAUUUAUACAGAGAUCGUGUUGUAUAACAUUUUCUGCUUCAUAAAAAUGAGUAAUACGAAGGUUAAAAAUAAUGUUUCUUUUUCUAUGUCCAUUUAACAAUAAGUACAAGAUAAAAUUCAGAAAUUGGAAUCACAGAACGAUUCUUGGAAUAUCAUAUCUACGAAGUACGAGAUCUACGAGCUUCGCAAAACCCACGAACGAACACACGUACGAACAAACGUAGGCGCAAUGUACUUCGUGUUAUAUCAAAAGAUAGUCCAAUCAAGAAUCAUGGCAGGAAGUUGGAAUCGAAAUGGAAAGAAGCAACGCUGGAUCGCGUGCGUUGCAAGAAUAAGAUGAGCCAGCGCGAGAAUUCUUGUUACGCGUUCCCUCCUUGUAUCGAAUAAAUCUAGCUCGAUGACGCCAGCGCGUAGCGAUGGACGCGCCCUGUACGCUAGGUAGGAAGUCAUCCUUCCUAGCAUCCAGAGUCCGCACAGGAAAUCUCGGACGCACCCACCGAAACAGCCCGCCCCCUCCGUCGGAGUCGAUUUAAUGUUUCGUUUCCUCUGCGACGAUAAGGGGCUACAAUUUUAUAGAAGCGGCCGCCCCUCCGCCGCAAACUCUCCACGAAAACGAAAGGAAGACGCCAGUGUACCAACCGAUCCGCAAUUAGACCCUCGUCAAAGUUCCCGCCACGGCAGGAUACGGAGAGGUCGAUCGAAAGUUAGUUUAAACAAUUGCGAAGGUAUUAAAAGUGUGGAUUGUUAGGUAUUAAGUACGUCAUGGUGUGAAAAUGAUCAUAAAUGGUGUAUUUAAUUGGAAAAGUUUCACACAGAACAAAGUGAAAGAUUGCACAGGGUUGGAGCUGGAAAUUUAUAUCGUUAUAUAAGUGUUACCAAAAAAACGUCGUGUCUGGAACAAUUAGGAAAAUGAAAUUUUGUUAAGAAACAAAUACGAUACAAAAUGUCCGAAGCACAUAUCACCUGCCAUAUGACAAAAUCGUGAAUGAGCAGAUUUUUACUUUCUUGCUGUAUUAGAGUGGACUAAUGUUCCUUUCUUUUCUUCUUAUCUAAUAUUAAUUAAGACAGACGAUGAACGUGGCAUAACAAGUAUUAUACUAUAUUAAUCGCAUAACGUUAUAAGAAUUUUGAUCGAUGAUUUUUUCGCGUCUGCAAUAAAUAUAAAAUUGUGAAAAUUCAACGGAUGCGUAUGAUGUAGAAAAAUAUAUAAAAUGUCAGAAGCACGCUCGUCAUAAUUUCUACUACUUUUAUUAAGCAAAGCAAAUUACUAUAUAGAUCACACCUCUUUCGUUCUCUUCGCAAAGAUAGAAAAUCCGUAGUCCAGUGACGAGGCAAUAAAAAAUUCUUACUGAAAAAAAAGUGAAACAAUACGAGAAGCAACGUGCACCGAAAGCUUUCUUCAGCUUCGGCGUGCAUUCGCAAGAAAUUACGAGCGCUCGAAGCCAUCCAAAAUCGAGCGUCGUUAUGCAGCUUGCACACGGAAGGAAGGAAGGAAGUCGAAGAGUGCUAAUCAUCCGGUUUACCCGGCUUUUUUCGGGUCAGCCUCGGUUGUUUGUUCGGUCGCGGGCCGCGUACACGGGGUAUAACACAGGCAGGAAAAAUGAAGGGCAGAAAGCUCGAUUCGCCGAGGCGUGACCAACGGAGUCGAGCAGAAGCUCAUACAUAUGUAGACGACUCAGGCCGGACACCGGGAACCGUGGGGAGGACCCUCCGGAAAAAUGAAUAUGCAGCCCCAUAGAGGGUAUUAUUUUAUAAAAUUUACUAUCCCAGCCAGGUAUUAUGUACUUUUCUGUCGUCCAUUCUCUACCGCGAACCGAGCGCACGUUAACUAGCCCACCUCGGCAGAUGUGGUCCCUGCGACCAACCACGUUUUCCACGGUAAGAAUCGACGUAAGGCGAAACACGAGAAGAACACGAUUUCAAGUCAGCUUGAUAGUAGAAAGAUUCAUUGACCCUUUGACGGUAUAAUCAAGUGUCAAAGAAUUCACGACAUACGAUUCAGAGAAUAAUUAUUUCUUUGUCGUCGAGAAUUCUUGGAUUUCCUCGGCAGAUAUAAAAACACGUACCUUCAGCUAUUUAUGGGGAAUAAACAUUAACGAUUUUGUUCAGACUUAUUCGAGAGUCUCCUGCGCUAUACAUAUCGUAGAAGGUGAUGGGACUCUGUUCUGUAUCAUUGAUCGGAAGGAAGUCUGCUAUCUUUGAUUAAUUUUUUCCAAUCACUCGAUCUUUAUUUUUAUGAAUAGAUUUUGUGGUUUUUG
Bombus impatiens (common eastern bumble bee) is the source of this 5363-nucleotide long non-coding RNA. RefSeq lists it as uncharacterized. The transcript is spliced from 5 exons. The record is from RefSeq and is a predicted model, not a curated record. Lineage: Eukaryota; Metazoa; Arthropoda; Insecta; Hymenoptera; Apidae.